GCUUAGGAAUCUGUCUAUUACUGGGGGACCACAUCUCUAAAGGGAUGCUUAUACCGCAUACGUCCUACGGGAGAAAGCAGGGGAUCUUCGGACCUUGCGCUAAUAGAUGAGCCUAAGUCGGAUUAGCUAGUUGGUGGGGUAAAGGCCUACCAAGGCGACGAUCUGUAGCGGGUCUGAGAGGAUGAUCCGCCACACUGGGACUGAGACACGGCCCAGACUCCUACGGGAGGCAGCAGUGGGGAAUAUUGGACAAUGGGGGGAACCCUGAUCCAGCCAUGCCGCGUGUGUGAAGAAGGCCUUAUGGUUGUAAAGCACUUUAAGCGAGGAGGAGGCUACUUUAGUUAAUACCUAGAGAUAGUGGACGUUACUCGCAGAAUAAGCACCGGCUAACUCUGUGCCAGCAGCCGCGGUAAUACAGAGGGUGCGAGCGUUAAUCGGAUUUACUGGGCGUAAAGCGUGCGUAGGCGGCUUAUUAGUCGGAUGUGAAAUCCCCGAGCUUAACUUGGGAAUUGCAUUCGAUACUGGUGAGCUAGAGUAUGGGAGAGGAUGGUAGAAUUCCAGGGUAGCGGUGAAAUGCGUAGAGAUCUGGAGGAAUACCGAUGGCAAAGCAGCCAUCUGGCCUAAUACUGACGCUGAGGUACGAAGCAUGGGGAGCAACAGGAUUAAAUACCCUGAAGUCAUGCCGUAACGAUGUCCACUAGCCGUUGGGGCCUUUGAGG
Molecule: ribosomal RNA, 719 nt
Filed under: Acinetobacter baumannii
Lineage: Bacteria; Pseudomonadati; Pseudomonadota; Gammaproteobacteria; Moraxellales; Moraxellaceae
Description: bacterial SSU rRNA
Rfam family: Bacterial small subunit ribosomal RNA
Source: RNAcentral